This is a long non-coding RNA of Pangasianodon hypophthalmus (striped catfish), 1569 nucleotides long. RefSeq lists it as uncharacterized. NCBI's taxonomy places the organism in Eukaryota, Metazoa, Chordata, Actinopteri, Siluriformes, Pangasiidae. The transcript is spliced from 3 exons. The record is from RefSeq and is a predicted model, not a curated record.
UUCCUCUUUCCAGCACUCGCUUCAAAGCAGCCCAUGCAACAAACGUUCUGCUGUAUGCCAAACUCCCAAACUCUGCUGGCUGCCAAGAGGAGACCCAAGCAUUGGCUAAUCAAAGGGUCGGCUCCAACAGUAGCGUGAAUGAUUCUGAUGGAGACGCUCCUGAGACAGAGAGAGCGAGAGAGAGAAUGCUGAAUAAGCUGAUGAGGUGAGAAAAUUUAAAUAUGGAUCUUAUAUUAAAUGCAAUUUUUUUAUGUUUUACUGAAAGGUUUGUUCCUGAUGUUGCUCAGAGACUAUUUUUUUUUUUUAUGUUUUACUGAAAGGUUUGUUCCCGAUGUUGCUCAGAGACUAUUUAGCAAGAACCUCAGCAAUUUAUAACAUGAUACUGCUAAUAUCAGCCUCCAUCUUGGAAUUUGCUCAACUCAUUCUGAAUAAUUACGACACUCAUGUCUGCACUCAGAUCUCAGCAUGUCUGGCAGACAUCUCAUGGAUUACAACUGUUGUUCAUCCGAGGUGAUUCAUCCCCAUGUCAGGAUCUUGCGAUCUCCCUGGACAACUCUCUGAUCCUUCGGUUACUGCACGCACCUUGGGGUAACCAUGGACAAUCAGCUGUCCUUUUCUUCUCACAUUGCUAAUCUGACAUGCUCAUGUCGAUUACUCCUAUAUAACAUCAGAAGGAUUCAUCCAUUUCUAGCCAUUCAGGUGCUUGUUCAGCGCAUUGUCAUUUCAUGACCAAGACUCCAACUCACUCCUGGCAGGUCUGUCUCUGAGCACCAUUCAACCUCUGCAACAGAUCCAGAAUGCAGAUGCACAACUGGGUUUCAACCUUCCUAAGUUCUAACACACCACCCCAUUGCUACAAUCCCUCCACUGGCUUCCUGCACCUGCCCAAAUCCGAUUUAAAACACUGAUGCUUGCCGACAAAGCCAAAAAUGGACCAGCACCCACUUACCUCAAAGCUCUUAUCACAUCCCUCACUGCACCACGCUCCCUCCAAUCCUCUAAGACUGCUCGACUGGUUGCACCAUCUUUCAAGGUACAAGGAAGGCAUGCAUCAAGACUCUUCUCUGUUCUGGCACUGGGGUGGUGGAAUGAACUUCCCCUAGAUGUACGAACAGCUGAGUCACUGGCUGUCUUCGAACGAUGUCUAAAGAGCUACCUCUUCCUAAAGUACUUAAAUUAGCACUUUAAAAAAAUCUUUGUGUUGUCUGUGUGCUUUUUAUUAUUUUACCUCGCCAACAGAGUUUUUAGACUGACGGUAUUCUUAGUCCGUGACCUAGUGAACCAAACAUUAAUGCAAAAUAAUCCAAUAUAAUCCAAAAUAUUGUGAAGUAUUUUGAUGAAUAUAUUUCAAGGUACAGUGUAGUUUGCCCUGUGAUGGGUUGGCACCCCGUCCAGGGUGUCCCCCACCUUGUGCCCGAGUCCCCUGGGAUAGGCUCCAGGCUCCUCGUGACCCUGUGUAGGAUAAGCAGUACAGAAAAUAGAUGGACGGAUAGGUACAGUGUAGUUAUAGCGCACUGGGACAGGCAUAUUCCAUCAUAUUCAUAUUUUAUAUUUCCUUUUAGGUCAAAA